GGCCCUCUGACACGUCACGUUCCUUUAUUAGGUGCCUAGCAUGAGGUAGAUAAGAAAGCUGACGACUUUGCUGAGGAUGGGGCUGCACCGCUCUUGGUUUUCGCCUUCUCCACGUCUCUCAGCAGAAUGGUACGCUUCCGUGAUUUCCUCUGACCUCUCUUCUACAUCUGGACAUUGGAAUACGAGACUCACAUGUGAAGGCCAUUUAAAUACCACGCCAAAGUUAGCAGCACCAAGGGUGAAAGCAAAUGGUUUCCCGCGAUUAUUCAACUCUUAGUCACUAAGCAUUAAAAUCAGUGGAGUAGGAAGGUAAUU
Molecule: long non-coding RNA, 315 nt
Filed under: Fukomys damarensis (Damara mole-rat)
Lineage: Eukaryota; Metazoa; Chordata; Mammalia; Rodentia; Bathyergidae
Description: lncRNA (ENSFDAG00000030896.1)
Source: RNAcentral